This 71-nucleotide transfer RNA is filed under the name Eurypogon sp. EUR01. RNAcentral's name for it is "tRNA-Lys". Lineage: Eukaryota; Metazoa; Arthropoda; Insecta; Coleoptera; Artematopodidae. The record is from RNAcentral.
CUCUAGAUGACUGAAAGCAAGUAAUGGUCUCUUAAACCAAAAUAUGGUAUGUUAGCAUAUACCUCUAGUGA